GGUCAGGACGAACGCUGGCGGCGUGCCUAACACAUGCAAGUCGAGCGAGGAGAUUCCUUCGGGAUGAUCCUAGCGGCGGACGGGUGAGUAACACGUGGGCAACCUGCCUCAUAGAGAGGAAUAGCCUUCCGAAAGGGAGAUUAGUACCUCAUAACAUUGCAGUUUCGCAUGGAACAGCAAUUAAAGGAGCAAUCCACUAUGAGAUGGGCCCGCGGCGCAUUAGCUAGUUGGUGAGGUAACGGCUCACCAAGGCGACGAUGCGUAGCCGACCUGAGAGGGUGAUCGGCCACAUUGGGACUGAGACACGGCCCAGACUCCUACGGGAGGCAGCAGUGGGGAAUAUUGCACAAUGGGGGAAACCCUGAUGCCAGCAACGCCGCGUGAGUGAUGACGGCCUUCGGGUUGUAAAGCUCUGUCUUCAGGGACGAUAAUGACGGUACCUGAGGAGGAAGCCACGGCUAACUACGUGCCAGCCGCCGC
Molecule: ribosomal RNA, 480 nt
Filed under: uncultured bacterium
Lineage: Bacteria
Description: bacterial SSU rRNA
Rfam family: Bacterial small subunit ribosomal RNA
Source: RNAcentral